Bombyx mori (domestic silkworm) is the source of this 468-nucleotide long non-coding RNA. RefSeq lists it as uncharacterized. The transcript is spliced from 2 exons. The record is from RefSeq and is a predicted model, not a curated record. NCBI's taxonomy places the organism in Eukaryota, Metazoa, Arthropoda, Insecta, Lepidoptera, Bombycidae.
GUCGAAUUCUCUAUUGUUCGUGACAGAAAUAGACAGUCUGAUGGAUUUGCACGUCCAGUGUCACUAUUGUGAACGAAAUGUACAGAAAAACAUAUGUACGGCCGCUGUGAGUUCUUGGGCACUCGGAUUGCACCGGAAAAGAUAGUUGCCCGCAACGAGAUAAUCGCAGAAUUCAGCAUCCCGCCUAAACGAUUUUUCAAUUUACUUACAUUAGCAGCAUGACGAUGAUGAUUGAUGGAUGCGUGGAUUUUCAAAUAAUUAUAAUAGCAAUAAAACAAUACAUUAAAUUAAAGUAAAACAAUAUAGUGUAGUGAAGUUUGAUUUUAAGAGUAAAUGUUAUUUUGUGACAGUUAAUAGCAAUUGAUUUUUUACAUAAGAACUUCGUACUUAUUAAUAUCAUAAUAGGCAAAUAGGGUUUCGAAGCUACAAAGACACGUUUAAAUUAAACUGAAAUGUUAAAAAUUAAAA